Molecule: ribosomal RNA, 465 nt
Filed under: uncultured Klebsiella sp.
Lineage: Bacteria; Pseudomonadati; Pseudomonadota; Gammaproteobacteria; Enterobacterales; Enterobacteriaceae
Description: bacterial SSU rRNA
Rfam family: Bacterial small subunit ribosomal RNA
Source: RNAcentral
CCUACGGGUGGCAGCAGUGGGGAAUAUUGCACAAUGGGCGCAAGCCUGAUGCAGCCAUGCCGCGUGUGUGAAGAAGGCCUUCGGGUUGUAAAGCACUUUCAGCGGGGAGGAAGGCGUUAAGGUUAAUAACCUUGGCGAUUGACGUUACCCGCAGAAGAAGCACCGGCUAACUCCGUGCCAGCAGCCGCGGUAAUACGGAGGGGUGAAGCGUUAAUCGGAAUUACUGGGCGUAAAGCGCACGCAGGCGGUCUGUCAAGUCGGAUGUGAAAUCCCCGGGCUCAACCUGGGAACUGCAUUCGAAACUGGCAGGCUAGAGUCUUGUAGAGGGGGGUAGAAUUCCAGGUGUAGCGGUGAAAUGCGUAGAGAUCUGGAGGAAUACCGGUGGCGAAGGCGGCCCCCUGGACAAAGACUGACGCUCAGGUGCGAAAGCGUGGGGAGCAAACAGGAUUAGAUACCCUGGUAGUC